GGGGCCAUGAGGUAACCUGGCUAUCCUGCCAGCUUGGGGUGCUGGUUAUCCGAGUUCAAAUCUCGGUGGCCCCA
This 74-nucleotide transfer RNA is filed under the name Microcaldota archaeon. Its description in RNAcentral is "Candidatus Micrarchaeota archaeon (hot springs metagenome) tRNA-Pro". It matches the Rfam family "tRNA". From Rfam's summary of the family: Transfer RNA (tRNA) molecules are approximately 80 nucleotides in length. Their secondary structure includes four short double-helical elements and three loops (D, anti-codon, and T loops). Further hydrogen bonds mediate the characteristic L-shaped molecular structure. tRNAs have two regions of fundamental functional importance: the anti-codon, which is responsible for specific mRNA codon recognition, and the 3' end, to which the tRNAs corresponding amino acid is attached (by aminoacyl-tRNA synthetases). tRNAs cope with the degeneracy of the genetic code in two manners: having more than one tRNA (with a specific anti-codon) for a particular amino acid; and 'wobble' base-pairing, i.e. permitting non-standard base-pairing at the 3rd anti-codon position. RNAcentral also lists the same sequence under 1 other name. The record is from RNAcentral. Lineage: Archaea; Nanobdellati; Microcaldota.